Sesamum indicum (sesame) is the source of this 1753-nucleotide non-coding RNA. The record is from RefSeq and is a predicted model, not a curated record. Lineage: Eukaryota; Viridiplantae; Streptophyta; Magnoliopsida; Lamiales; Pedaliaceae.
ACACUUUUUCUUUUUCUUCUUCCUAAUUAUGUUUCAUUUGGAUAUUAUUUUUUUGAAUUUCAAACAGUCAAAGUUUAAAUAGUUCUAAGUCAAGUUAGAAGAAAUUGAAGUAACUGGUGAAGCAUCCUUCAUGCUGAAAAAGAUGUUAUCCUACUACCUUAUGCACAAGUUAACUUUUCCUGGCUUUCUCUUCUUUUUUGGUAUGUUGUGAAGUUAGUUAUGAGGAUUUAUGCAGCUUUAGGUGGCAAACUGCAUGCAGUAAAACUAAACGAGGAAAUGACCUUCUCUUUUUGGUAUUUGGUUGCUAAAGUAUGUUUUCAUUUUUAAAGUGCUUGAUCUUAAAGAGGAGUGUGAUAGGUAAUAAUCGGCAUCAGUUUGGUGUUUUCCUUAUCUUUAUUGAAGUAAGUUAUUUGAAAACAUGGCUGAUUUGUGUGAAGGGAGUGUUUAUUUCUCAAAUUUUUUGGUGUUAUAACUGAUGGAUCUCUUGUUUGUUGUGCUUGUCAUAUGGCUGAUUAUUUUUUUCCUUUGAACACUGAACCAAUGGCCUCCGUUCAUUUUGCAAAAGGAAUAGUGUUGGGGCAAUCCUAAUAUGCAAAUUUAUGUACGUGUGCAUCUGCUAUUAAAAUUUCUUGCUUUUCAAGAAUUAGUGUGAACUUCUUUAUCCAUCAUAGCUGGCAUUAUAUAAAAGAUGCAUGGAAAGAUGUGCAGAAUUAACAUGUGAGAUCAUAGCCUAAGCAGCAGCAAGAGCAUUUACUCUCCAGAUGAGGGAGAUCAAGUAGUGACACAAUGAAGGUUUGUCAGGGAGGGUGGCUUACGAUGGAACGCCUUGAUAAAUUUUUGGAGCACAAUGAUACCGCCAACCAAUGAGAUAUAUGUUUGCUUUUGUAUUUAUCUCGUGCUCAGAUUAGCAAUCACGCAGUGAAGUCGGGAAGAGAGCAGUCCAGUUGACAACAAACGAAGGGGAGAGAUCAGCAUGGGAUCAUGUUUCUAGCUUUUGAGGCAAACUCAGAGGAACUUUCCAUAUCCAUAUCAUUGUUGAAAUCGUGACAUUUUAUGGUGAGAAGAAACUUUUUUGUGUCGGUAAAUUACAACGGGCUCUCUUGAGGUUCGUCAUAAUUAUAAAUACUUUCUCGCCCUUGAGGUUUGUUAUAACUACAAACACCCUCUCAUUUUUUGAAAAAUUACAAAUACCUCCUUGUGAUAGCCAUCAUAAGGGGUAUUUGUUAGGAUUAUUUGUAAUUUCAGGGGAAUAUUUAUAAAUUUUUUAAAACACGAGUUAUUUAUAAUUAUGACAAAUUUAAGAAAAACUCAUCACAAUUUAUCCCCUUUUUAUUUAUUUUCCCCUUUCUUUGUUCAAUCGGUCUAUUAAAAGCAAGGACAAGCAUAGUGGGAGAUACUUCUAUUAUGAAACCAAAAAUAUAAUAUAUAUUGAGAAUUUAUUUAGGGUGUGGUGGUCAAAUUGUACAAGUAACAUUUGAAAUCACCACACCAUACAUGUGAGAUAUAUGUUCCAACUUGCAGCCCAAAAUCUUUUCCUCACUAUUUGUUGAAAUGUUAAAUGAAGAAACUGAGCGAUAUGGGUUGGAGUGUCAUCAGACGUGUGCUGAUAUUUAUAACAUUUUAUAUGAAUUUAUUUAUUAUUUUUAAUUAUAUUGAUGUAUUAGUCGAAUACAUAUGAUAAUGUAUCGAUGAAACUGGUAUACAUGUAAGGUUUGAAUUUGAAACCAGCACACCAAAAAUGUGAGAUAUGUCU